AGUGAACGCUGGCGGUAGGCCUAACACAUGCAAGUCGAACGGCAGCACAGUAAGAGCUUGCUCUUACGGGUGGCGAGUGGCGGACGGGUGAGGAAUACAUCGGAAUCUACUUUUUCGUGGGGGAUAACGUAGGGAAACUUACGCUAAUACCGCAUACGACCUACGGGUGAAAGCAGGGGAUCUUCGGACCUUGCGCGAUUGAAUGAGCCGAUGUCGGAUUAGCUAGUUGGCGGGGUAAAGGCCCACCAAGGCGACGAUCCGUAGCUGGUCUGAGAGGAUGAUCAGCCACACUGGAACUGAGACACGGUCCAGACUCCUACGGGAGGCAGCAGUGGGGAAUAUUGGGCAAUGGGCGCAAGCCUGAUCCAGCCAUACCGCGUGAGUGAAGAAGGCCUUCGGGUUGUAAAGCCCUUUUGUUGGGAAAGAAAAGCAGCAGAUUAAUACCCCGCUGUUCUGACGGUACCCAAAGAAUAAGCACCGGCUAACUUCGUG
This 492-nucleotide ribosomal RNA is filed under the name uncultured bacterium. RNAcentral's name for it is "partial 16S ribosomal RNA". It matches the Rfam family "Bacterial small subunit ribosomal RNA", at positions 29 to 507 of the family's 1533-position model. The record is from RNAcentral.